This 99-nucleotide signal recognition particle RNA is filed under the name Spirochaetales bacterium. Its description in RNAcentral is "signal recognition particle sRNA small type". It matches the Rfam family "Bacterial small signal recognition particle RNA". From Rfam's summary of the family: The signal recognition particle (SRP) is a universally conserved ribonucleoprotein involved in the co-translational targeting of proteins to membranes. Archaeal SRP consists of a 7S RNA and homologues of the eukaryotic SRP19 and SRP54 proteins. In most bacteria, the SRP consists of a 4.5S RNA and the Ffh protein (a homologue of the eukaryotic SRP54 protein). Lineage: Bacteria; Pseudomonadati; Spirochaetota; Spirochaetia; Spirochaetales. The record is from RNAcentral.
CGCCAGGCCCUGUGCUAGCAGACUUCACCCAACUCCGUCAGGACCGGAAGGUAGCAGCGGUUAGUGUUGUUUUGCUGAGCCGCAGUAAGCUUGGCGGCG